AUUGAACGCUGGCGGCAUGCUUUACACAUGCAAGUCGAACGGUAACAGGCCUUCGGGUGCUGACGAGUGGCGCACGGGUGAGUAAUGCAUCGGAACGUGCCCAGAGGUUGGGGAUAACGCAGCGAAAGCUGUUCUAAUACCGCAUGUGAUCUGAGGAUGAAAGCGGGGGACCAAGCAGCAAUGUUUGGUCUCGCGCCUCUGGAUCGGCCGAUGUCAGAUUAGUUAGUUGGUGGGGUAAAGGCCUACCAAGCCGACGAUCUGUAGCUGGUCUGAGAGGACGACCAGCAACACUGGGAAUAAGACACGGCCCAGACUCCUAAGGGAGGCAGCAGUGGGGAAUUUUGGACAAUGGGCGGAAGCCUGAUCCAGCAAUGCCGCGUGCGGGAAGAAGGCCUUCGGGUUGUAAACCGAUUUUGUACGGAACGAAAAGGCUCUGGCUAAUACCUGGGGCUGAUGACGGUACAGUAAGAAUAAGCACCGGCUAACUACGUG
This 492-nucleotide ribosomal RNA is filed under the name uncultured bacterium. RNAcentral describes it as "partial 16S ribosomal RNA". It matches the Rfam family "Bacterial small subunit ribosomal RNA", at positions 30 to 507 of the family's 1533-position model. The record is from RNAcentral.